AAAUUGCCUUCGGGUGAUGGAAAGCGGCGAAAGGGAGAGUAACACGCGGGUACCUACCCUCAGGACCGGGAUAGCUGCGGGAAACUGCAAUUAAUACCGGAUGAUGUCUCCGGACCAAAGGUGUGAUUCCGCCGGAGGAGGGGCCCACGUCCUAUCAGCUAGUUGGCGAGGUAAUAGCUCACCAAGGCUACGACGGGUACGGGGUGUGAGAGCAUGCCCCCGCUCACUGGGACUGAGACACUGCCCAGACACCUACGGGUGGCUGCAGUCGAGAAUCUUCCGCAAUGGGCGAAAGCCUGACGGAGCGACGCCGCGUGCGGGAUGAAGGCCUUCGGGUUGUAAACCGCUGUCAGUGGGGAGGAAAUGCAUGGGGGUUCUCCCUCGUGUUUGACCGAUCCGCAGAGGAAGCACAGGCUAAGUUCGUGCCAGCAGCCGCGGUAACACGAACUGUGCAAACGUUAUUCGGAAUCACUGGGCUUAAAGAGUUCGUAGGCGGCACGUUAAGUCGGGUGUGAAAUCCCUCGGCUCAACCGAGGAAUUGCGUCCGAAACUGGCGUGCUUGAGUGAGAUAGAGGUGCGCAGGCGGAAUGAUAAGUCAGUGGUGAAAUCUCCCGGCUCAACCGGGAAACUGCCAUUGAUACUGCCAUUCUUGAGUACAGUUGAAGUGGGCGGAAUGUGUCAUGUAGCGGUGAAAUGCUUAGAUAUGACACAGAACACCGAUAGCGAAGGCAGCUCACUAAGCUGUAACUGACGCUCAUGCACGAAAGCGUGGGGAUCAAACAGGAUUAGAUACCCUGGUAGUCCACGCUGUAAACGAUGAUCACUCGUUGUAGCGAUAUACUGUUAGCGACUGAGCGAAAGCAUUAAGUGAUCCACCUGGGGAGUACGGCGGCAACGUUGAAACUCAAAGGAAUUGACGGGGGCCCGCACAAGCGGAGGAGCAUGUGGUUUAAUUCGAUGAUACGCGAGGAACCUUACCUGGGCUUAAAUGCAGAACGACGUUUCGUGAAAGCGGAAUUUCCUUCGGGACGUUUUGCAAGGUGCUGCAUGGUUGUCGUCAGCUCGUGCCGUGAGGUGUCGGGUUAAGUCCCAUAACGAGCGCAACCCUUAUCAUUAGUUGCCAUCAGGUAAUGCUGGGAACUCUAAUGAAACUGCCUACGCAAGUAGUGAGGAAGGUGGGGAUGACGUCAAAUCAGCACGGCCCUUAUGUCCAGGGCGACACACGUGCUACAAUGGCCAGUACAGAGGGUUGCUACCUGGUGACAGGAUGCUAAUCUCGAAAGCUGGUCUCAGUUCGGAUCGAAGUCUGCAACUCGACUUCGUGAAGUUGGAUUCGCUAGUAAUCGCGCAUCAGCCAUGGCGCGGUGAAUACGUUCCCGGGCCUUGUACACACCGCCCGUCAAGCCAUGGGAGUUGGGGGUACCUAAAGUCCGUAACCGUAAGGAGCGGCCUA
Molecule: ribosomal RNA, 1453 nt
Filed under: metagenome
Description: bacterial SSU rRNA
Rfam family: Bacterial small subunit ribosomal RNA
Source: RNAcentral